Scleropages formosus (Asian bonytongue) is the source of this 442-nucleotide non-coding RNA. The record is from the annotation of a RefSeq genome assembly. NCBI's taxonomy places the organism in Eukaryota, Metazoa, Chordata, Actinopteri, Osteoglossiformes, Osteoglossidae.
UGACAAUAAGCAUGAAUGACAUCCAGUUGAGGGCUGUUUUGCCCUAUCUCCUGUUUGCAACAUGUAUCCAUGGAGCGACUGUCAAUCAGAAUCCCAGCGAUCUAAUAAUGAAAGCUGGGGGUUCAGCCAGCAUCUCCUGCUCCCAUGAUGACAACAGCUUGCAUUAUUUUUACUGGUACCAGCAACACCCAGGCAAAGGCAUUGAGCUUAUUGCCAACAUCAUCACUUCUCAGAAGCCAGAAUUUGAACAGAGCUUCAAAAAUCAGUCGGAACGAUAUGACAUACAAAAGCCUAACACGCUGACUGGAUCUUUCGUCAUUAAAAGUUUACAGACAUCCGACAGCGCUGUGUACUUCUGCGCGGCAACAAACACGUCAGUAAAACCUGGCUUUCUCUAAUGCAAAAAGUCCUGCGACACAUAGUUCCUGCCACCAGGUAGAGA